RNAcentral lists this ribosomal RNA (454 nucleotides) under uncultured bacterium. RNAcentral describes it as "bacterial SSU rRNA". It matches the Rfam family "Bacterial small subunit ribosomal RNA", at positions 791 to 1240 of the family's 1533-position model. The record is from RNAcentral.
UAGUCCACACCGUAAACGCUGUCUACUAGCUGUUUGUGAGUUUAACUCGUGAGUAGCGAAGCUAACGCGCUAAGUAGACCGCCUGGGGAGUACGGUCGCAAGAUUAAAACUCAAAUGAAUUGACGGGGGCCCGCACAAGCGGUGGAGCAUGUGGUUUAAUUCGAUGCAACGCGAAGAACCUUACCUACACUUGACAUUCAGCGAACUUACCAGAGAUGGUUUGGUGCCUUCGGGAACGCUGGGACAGGUGCUGCAUGGCUGUCGUCAGCUCGUGUCGUGAGGUGUUGGGUUAAGUCCCGCAACGAGCGCAACCCCUACUAUUAGUUGCCAGCGAGUAAUGUCGGGGACUCUAAUGGGACUGCCGGUGCAAACCGAGAGGGAAGGUGGGGACGACGUCAAGGUCAUCAUGGCCCUUACGCCCAGGGGCUACACACGUGCUACAAUGGGCGCAUAC